GACGUAGGGGACGAGCGUUGUCCGGAUUCAUUGGGCGUAAAGCGCGCGUAGGCGGUUACGUAAGUCGGGUGUGAAAAUCCGGGGCUCAACCCCGGACCUGCAUCCGAUACUGCGUGACUAGAGGUAGGUAGGGGAGAUCGGAAUUCCUGGUGUAGCGGUGAAAUGCGUAGAGAUGGGGGAGAACACUCGUGGCGAAGGCGGCCAGCUAGACCAGUUCUGACACUGAGGCGCGACAGCGUGGGGAGCAAACAGG
This 253-nucleotide ribosomal RNA is filed under the name uncultured bacterium. RNAcentral's name for it is "partial 16S ribosomal RNA". It matches the Rfam family "Bacterial small subunit ribosomal RNA", at positions 524 to 776 of the family's 1533-position model. The record is from RNAcentral.